This 406-nucleotide ribosomal RNA is filed under the name uncultured bacterium. RNAcentral's name for it is "partial 16S ribosomal RNA". It matches the Rfam family "Bacterial small subunit ribosomal RNA", at positions 28 to 526 of the family's 1533-position model. The record is from RNAcentral.
GACGAACGCUGGCGGCGUGCCUAAUACAUGCAAGUCGAACGAGUGGCGGACGGGUGAGUUAUGUCUGGGAAACUGCCCGAUGGAGGGGGAUAACUUCUGGAAACGGUAGCUAAUACCGCAUACCAUCGGAUGUGCCCAGAUGGGAUUAGCUAGUCGGGUGGGUAACGGCCCACCUGGGCGACGAUCCCUAGCUGAUCUGGGAGGAUGACCGGCGACACUGGAAGUGAGACACGGUCCAGACUCCUACGGGAGGCAGCAGUGGGGAAUAUUGCACAAUGGGCGCAAGCCUGAUGCAGCCAUGCCGCGUGUAUGAAGAAGGCCUUCGGGUUGUAAAGUACUUUCAGCGAGGAGGCGUUACUCGCAGAAGAAGCACCGGCUAACUCCGUGCCAGCAGCCGCGGUAAUUC